Pelobates cultripes (western spadefoot toad) is the source of this 100-nucleotide non-coding RNA. NCBI's taxonomy places the organism in Eukaryota, Metazoa, Chordata, Amphibia, Anura, Pelobatidae. The record is from the annotation of a GenBank genome assembly.
GUAAUCUGAGCCUGUCCUCUAAGAGGCUCUCACCCAUGUGAGUUGACAUCUUACGGUCAACUCACAUGGGUGAGAGCCUCUAAUAGGACAGGCUCAGAUC